AGAGUUUGAUCCUGGCUCAGGACGAACGCUGGCGGCGUGCUUAACACAUGCAAGUCGAACGGUGAUCCAGGAGCUUGCUCCUGGUGAUCAGUGGCGAACGGGUGAGUAACACGUGAGUAACCUGCCCCUGACUCUGGAAUAACCCCGGGAAACCGGAGCUAAUACCGGAUAUGACACCAAUCCGCAUGGGUAUGGUGUGGAAAGUUUUCGGUCUGGGAUGGACUCGCGGCCUAUCAGCUUGUUGGUGAGGUAAUGGCUCACCAAGGCGACGACGGGUAGCCGGCCUGAGAGGGCGACCGGCCACACUGGGACUGAGACACGGCCCAGACUCCUACGGGAGGCAGCAGUGGGGAAUAUUGCACAAUGGGCGAAAGCCUGAUGCAGCGACGCCGCGCGAGGGAUGACGGCCUUCGGGUUGUAAACCUCUUUCAGCAGGGAAGAAGCGCAAGUGACGGUACCUGCAGAAGAAGCACCGGCUAACUACGUGCCAGCAGCCGCGGUAAUACGUAGGGUGCGAGCGUUGUCCGGAAUUAUUGGGCGUAAAGAGCUUGUAGGCGGCUUGUCGCGUCUGCUGUGAAAAUCCGAGGCUCAACCUCGGACUUGCAGUGGGUACGGGCAGGCUAGAGUGUGGUAGGGGAGACUGGAAUUCCUGGUGUAGCGGUGAAAUGCGCAGAUAUCAGGAGGAACACCGAUGGCGAAGGCAGGUCUCUGGGCCACUACUGACGCUGAGAAGCGAAAGCAUGGGGAGCGAACAGGAUUAGAUACCCUGGUAGUCCAUGCCGUAAACGUUGGGAACUAGGUGUGGGUCUCAUUCCACGAGAUCCGUGCCGCAGCUAACGCAUUAAGUUCCCCGCCUGGGGAGUACGGCCGCAAGGCUAAAACUCAAAGGAAUUGACGG
Molecule: ribosomal RNA, 898 nt
Filed under: uncultured Actinomycetes bacterium
Lineage: Bacteria; Bacillati; Actinomycetota; Actinomycetes
Description: SSU rRNA
Rfam family: Bacterial small subunit ribosomal RNA
Source: RNAcentral